GCGCAGCAGGCGAGAAUAGUCUACAAUGGACGAAAGUCUGAUAGUGCGACGCCGUGUGUGCGAUUAAUUCCUUCGGGAUGUAAAGCACUUUUCUAUGAGAUAAAAGCUCUUUAGGUUAAUAGCUUAUUGAGACGGAUAUUAUUAUAGGAAUAAGCUCCGGCUAACUCCGUGCCAGCAGCCGCGGUAAUACGGAAGGAGCGAGCGUUGUCCGGAUUUACUAGGCGUAAAGGGCUAGUAGGCGACUAAUUAAGUUAUAUGUUAAAUCCCACGGCUCAACUGUGGUCCUGCAUGUAAUACUGGUUAGAUAGAGUACUGUAGAGGAAGGCAGAAUUCCUGGAGUAGCGGUGGAAUGCGCAGAUAUCAGGAAGAAUAACCAAAAGCGAAGGCAGCCUUCUGGGCAGUUACUGACGCUGAAUAGCGAAGGUGUGGGUAGCGAACAGGAUUAGAUACCCCCCGUAGU
This 460-nucleotide ribosomal RNA is filed under the name uncultured microorganism. RNAcentral's name for it is "bacterial SSU rRNA". It matches the Rfam family "Bacterial small subunit ribosomal RNA", at positions 346 to 794 of the family's 1533-position model. The record is from RNAcentral.